This 371-nucleotide ribosomal RNA is filed under the name uncultured bacterium. Its description in RNAcentral is "bacterial SSU rRNA". It matches the Rfam family "Bacterial small subunit ribosomal RNA", at positions 527 to 896 of the family's 1533-position model. The record is from RNAcentral.
GUAGGUGGCGAGCGUUGUCCGGAAUUACUGGGUGUAAAGGGCGUGUAGGCGGGUCUGCAAGUCAGAUGUGAAAUUCCGGGGCUUAACCCCGGCGCUGCAUUUGAAACUGCGGAUCUUGAGUAUCGGAGAGGGAAGUGGAAUUCCUAGUGUAGCGGUGAAAUACGUAGAUAUUAGGAGGAACACCAGUGGCGAAGGCGACUUUCUGGACGAUAACUGACGCUGAGGCGCGAAAGCGUGGGGAGCAAACAGGAUUAGAUACCCUGGUAGUCCACGCCGUAAACGAUGGAUACUAGGUGUGGGGGGUAUCGACCCCCCCCGUGCCGCAGCUAACGCAAUAAGUAUCCCACCUGGGGAGUACGGCCGCAAGGUUG